RNAcentral lists this transfer RNA (71 nucleotides) under Thoosa mismalolli. RNAcentral's name for it is "tRNA-Arg". It matches the Rfam family "tRNA". Rfam says of the family: Transfer RNA (tRNA) molecules are approximately 80 nucleotides in length. Their secondary structure includes four short double-helical elements and three loops (D, anti-codon, and T loops). Lineage: Eukaryota; Metazoa; Porifera; Demospongiae; Tetractinellida; Thoosidae. The record is from RNAcentral.
AUGUCUGUAAUUUAAAGGCAAAAUACUUAUCUUCGAAAUAAACAAUAGGAGUUCAAGUCUCUUCAGACAUU